RNAcentral lists this ribosomal RNA (430 nucleotides) under uncultured bacterium. RNAcentral describes it as "bacterial SSU rRNA". It matches the Rfam family "Bacterial small subunit ribosomal RNA", at positions 958 to 1392 of the family's 1533-position model. The record is from RNAcentral.
AACGCGAAGAACCUUACCUACCCUUGACAUGGUCGGAAUCCUGCAGAGAUGCGGGAGUGCUCGAAAGAGAACCGGCACACAGGUGCUGCAUGGCUGUCGUCAGCUCGUGUCGUGAGAUGUUGGGUUAAGUCCCGCAACGAGCGCAACCCUUGUCAUUAGUUGCUACGAAAGGGCACUCUAAUGAGACUGCCGGUGACAAACCGGAGGAAGGUGGGGAUGACGUCAAGUCCUCAUGGCCCUUAUGGGUAGGGCUUCACACGUCAUACAAUGGUCGGUACAGAGGGCUGCCAACCCGCAAGGGGGAGCCAAUCCCUUAAAACCGAUCGUAGUCCGGAUUGAGGUCUGCAACUCGACCUCAUGAAGUCGGAAUCGCUAGUAAUCGCGGAUCAGCAUGUCGCGGUGAAUACGUUCCCGGGUCUUGUACACACCG